RNAcentral lists this small RNA (283 nucleotides) under Pongo abelii (Sumatran orangutan). The record is from RNAcentral. Lineage: Eukaryota; Metazoa; Chordata; Mammalia; Primates; Hominidae.
GCCAGGUGUGGUGGCUCACACCUGUAAUCCCAGCACUUUAGGAGGCCUAGGAAGGAGGAUCACUUGAACCCAGGAGUUUGAGACCAGCCUGGGCAACAUGGUGAGACUCUUGUCUCUACAAAAAUUUUAAAAAUUAGCUGGGCAUGGUGGUGUGUACCUGUGGUCCCAGCUACUCAGGAGGCUUAGGUGGGAGGAUCACUUGAGCCCAGGAGGUUGACGCUGCAGUGAUCCAUGAUUGCAACACUGCACUCUAGCCUGGGCAACACAGUGAGACCCUCUCUAA